This is a long non-coding RNA of Helianthus annuus (common sunflower), 102 nucleotides long. RefSeq lists it as uncharacterized. The record is from RefSeq and is a predicted model, not a curated record. NCBI's taxonomy places the organism in Eukaryota, Viridiplantae, Streptophyta, Magnoliopsida, Asterales, Asteraceae. The transcript has 2 exons.
UUUCAUGCAGAAAUAAAAUCCGGCUCUGAAAACGGGACCAUGAUUCAGAACAUGAUCAAGGAGGGAAAGAUUGUACCGUCGGAAGUAACAAUCAAGCUUCUU